RNAcentral lists this ribosomal RNA (253 nucleotides) under uncultured bacterium. RNAcentral's name for it is "partial 16S ribosomal RNA". It matches the Rfam family "Bacterial small subunit ribosomal RNA", at positions 524 to 776 of the family's 1533-position model. The record is from RNAcentral.
UACGUAGGCAGCAAGCGUUGUUCGGAGUUACUGGGCGUAAAGGGUGUGUAGGCGGUUCUUUAAGUUUGGUGUGAAAUCUCCCGGCUCAACCGGGAGGGUGCGCCGAAAACUGAAGGGCUAGAGUGCGGGAGAGGAGAGUGGAAUUCCUGGUGUAGCGGUGAAAUGCGUAGAUAUCAGGAGGAACACCGGUGGUGUAAACGGCUCUCUGGACCGUAACUGACGCUGAGACACGAAAGCGUGGGUAGCAAACAGG